CCUACGGGGGGCAGCAGUGAGGAAUAUUGGUCAAUGGCCGUAAGCCUGAACCAGCCAAGUAGCGUGAGGGAAGACUGCCCUAUGGGUUGUAAACCUCUUUUGUGCGGGGAUAAAGGUGUCCACGUGUGGAUUUUUGCAGGUACCUUAUGAAUAAGGACCGGUCAAUCUCGGUCCAGCAGCCGCGGGAAUAUGGUAGGUCCGGACGUUACCCGGGUUUAUUGGGGUUAAAGGGAGGGUAGGCCGGUCUGUAAGGUUGCCGUGAAAUUUUCGGGCCCAACCCUGGCAGUGCGGUGCAAACUGGCGACCUUGAGUGCGCGAGAGGCAGGCGGAAUUCGUGGUGUAGCGGUGAAAUGCUUAGAUAUCACGAAGAACCCCGAUUGCGAAGGCAGCCUGCCGCCGCGUUACUGACGCUGAAGCUCGAAAGCGCGGGUAUCGAACAGGAUUAGAUACCCUGGUAGUC
This 460-nucleotide ribosomal RNA is filed under the name uncultured bacterium. RNAcentral's name for it is "partial 16S ribosomal RNA". It matches the Rfam family "Bacterial small subunit ribosomal RNA", at positions 338 to 795 of the family's 1533-position model. The record is from RNAcentral.